UGAGGAAUAUUGGUCAAUGGGCGAGAGCCUGAACCAGCCAAGUAGCGUGCAGGAUGACGGCCCUAUGGGUUGUAAACUGCUUUUAUGUGGGGAUAAAGUGCGUGACGUGUCAUGCAUUGCAGGUACCACAUGAAUAAGGACCGGCUAAUUCCGUGCCAGCAGCCGCGGUAAUACGGAAGGUCCGGGCGUUAUCCGGAUUUAUUGGGUUUAAAGGGAGCGUAGGCUGUCUAUUAAGCGUGUUGUGAAAUUUACCGGCUCAACCGGUGGCUUGCAGCGCGAACUGGUCGACUUGAGUAUGCAGGAAGUAGGCGGAAUUCAUGGUGUAGCGGUUAAAUGCUUAGAUAUCAUGAAGAACUCCGAUUGCGAAGGCAGCUUACGGGAGCGCAACUGACGCUAAAGCUCGAAGGUGCGGGUAUCGAACAGG
RNAcentral lists this ribosomal RNA (424 nucleotides) under Verrucomicrobiota bacterium. Its description in RNAcentral is "Verrucomicrobia bacterium partial 16S ribosomal RNA". It matches the Rfam family "Bacterial small subunit ribosomal RNA", at positions 355 to 776 of the family's 1533-position model. Lineage: Bacteria; Pseudomonadati; Verrucomicrobiota. The record is from RNAcentral.